GGUUUAGUGAUAGUUUAAUAAUCGUUGAGUUCACAUCUAAUGUCGGAAAUCGCAGUUCCCAGUUCCGCAUCUGUCUUUUGAUAAACUUUAUUGAGGUUGUUUGAAAUUAAUAUCCAUCUAGCUCUAUAUGUAAGCGUGUGGCUGCGUUGCAUUCAAUUCAAACAUUUCAGUGCUCAGUGCCCGACAACAACACAUAUUGUAUAUUUAACACCACCUACACCCAAUACAAACACAAGUUAACGAGUGAAUUCGUGAAUUCAAAAACUCUCCGGUGUUUCAAGAAAUUUUUUGAUGAAAUAACGCACGAAAAUUACACAAAAUUGAAAAAUGCCGCUGAAUAAGCUUAAAAAAAAUAUGAAAAUGUUGUUGUGAAAUAUUAUUCAUCGGCUGAAAGUGAAUCAACAAGAAUAUUGAAUAAUAGUGUAUUUAGUUCUAAGAAAAAAUAAAUAAAUAUACCCAACAAGGUGAAUCAUGAAAUAGCGCCUAUGGCAUACGAAAUCGUUUUUGAAUAUCACAAGUGAAUUUCGAAUUUGAAAAAAAAUCGACAUACAGUGGAACAGCAUUAACAUUUUACUUGCUAUACAUAUGUAUGUGUGUAUGUGCUAGUGUAUAUAACACAAUACGCUUUGCGAGAGUAAAGAGAAUAAAUAUGCAAAAAGUGUUUCUAACGCGACAAAAUGCAGCACGAAGAAUGUGAAAACAAGUGGAAAAGCAUUGUGAAAAGAAUUUAAGAGAAAUCAAAACGCAUUAAAAAAUAUAAAAACGGAGUUUCGUCAAUAUUCAAUAACAACAAAUAGUGAUAUAAAAAGCAAACAAUUUCGUUAUAGACGCAACAACAACAACAGUAGAACAAGUGACAAUGUGGCUUGCGAAUCAUACUCAUCGACAGCAUUUCAUGCGAAAACCACAACAACAACACGGACACACGGCCAAAGCUAAAGGCAGCGCAGUGCCCGCCAGGCAGUUUGUCAGCAGUUAAGGCAGCAACAACACAAAUAAGCGAACUGCUUUCGAGAGUGUAUUAAAAAAUAGUAAAAAUAAUAACAACAAACCAAACAUAGUUUAUGCCGGCAAUUCGAAAAAAUUUUCCAAACUAAAACGCAGCUUGAACUAUUGUGCUGAGAAGGCAAUUAAACAACUAAAAUUAAAAAACUAAAAAAAAAAAACAAUUAAAAAGUUGAAGAAGUAAAUUAUAAGACGGGCGCGUUUAAAAUUGAACAAAUUUAAACAAAAAAAGUCGAUUGUCGCUGGCACAAAGUGAAAUUCGGUGUAUUCUGUGCGUCGCUGUAGAGUUGGUACUAACUCUCCUACGGGCGGACGCCAUGUAUGCGCGAGUAUUGCGCAAAUGGAGUCUACAAACGAAACCGCAAGUAUCUAUGAACAUGUGGCGGCUGCUGCUGCUCACCCUGCUGCUGAUCUGUCUGUACACAACGCCGGUCACAUGCCUUACAACCGCCUACGCCCAACGCCUGCGUGUGAAUCGGAGCACAGCGCCUGCCACCGCGCCACUGAUUGCCACCGCGUUUGCGACUGCCAAUGCGGCGGCAACACUAACGGCACCGCUACCAACAACAGCAGCAGCAGCAGAAGCACCAGCGGCACCAGCAGUGGCGAGUGCAAGCACACGCGAAAUCGUAUCAGCAACACAGCCGCUCACGCCUUCAGCAGCAAAAGCAGAAGCCGCCACUGUUGGCGACAUCAUCGAAGAAAGUUUCUACAUACCGGUCGAUGGCGCCGACGCAGAUAGCAACAUCUAUGGCGGCAGCAGCAAUCGUCUAGCGCAAGCGCUAGGCGUUCAUGGUGCAGCGGGCGCAACGGCAGGUGUAGAUUUAGUGGGGCACAGUGGCAGCAACGACGGGGCGGUCAGCGGCAGCAGCAGCAGCAGUAGGAUAUUUAGCAGUAGUAGUGUAAUGAACAGCGAUAACAGUGGGCGACAGCAACAACAACAAAUGAAACAAGCGCAGCUACAUAAACAAACCGUUGGUUUGGACGCAACCGAAGCAAAUGCAAACGAUUUGGCCUACGCGUUUUAUCGACGCCCAGCGCCACAAGCAUUCUACCAAUCGGCAAACGCUUUACAAGCAGCCACAAAGCCAUCAGCAGCAGUGAUGGCGACACAGGCGCCAACAACAGUAUUUAGACCGCAGUUUAGCGCCCACUAUGUGGCGAACGAUGAACGCGUUGCCAACGAUGGUGAUGAGGAGGAGGAUGACCAUGAGGAGGAGGAAGAGGAGAGUGAGGAGGAGGAAGCUGAGGAUGUAGAUGCUGAUGUCGAUGGCGACGCCGAUGCCGAUGUGUAUGCGCAUGCAUCGGACGAGGGCGGUGACGACGACUAUGGUCGUCAGCAACAAGAAAAAGUUCCAAAUAAUAAAAAUAGUCACAUAAUUAAUUUAUUUAAACCAUAUAAACAUAGCAACAUUAACAACAUUAACAACUACAAUACCAAUUACAAUCACAACACCAACUCAAAUUUACAUAAAACACAUCCACAGCAACUGCAACAACACACGCGCGGCAGCGCGUCAACUGCGCAACCAUCACACAUAGCAAGCGCCAUUAGCGGCCGCAGCGACACACUAACAUACGCGGCGGGCAAGCGCAGCUACAAGGCGCGACGACAUGUGCCGCUUACAAAUACACAACAACCACAACAACAGCAUGCAUUGCGUUUGCAUGCCGCGCAUGCGCCAAAGAACGCACAACACGCGCUCACCAGCACACCGCUGCCCAUCGCCGCGUACCCCACCAAGAAAGUGUACCAGCUGGUGAACGGCAAGAAUUUGACGCGCCUUGUGCAUAUCCUGCCGCCCACACAUUACCGCUUUACCGCUUAUGAAAUACCCGCGUCACUGCCUUACCGCGGUGAGUUGACGGAGCAGCAACGACGCGCGCUGCAGCAACAGCACGAGCUGCAAUUGCAGCAAGAUCAAACGGCGCGCUCACGCCGCGACUCGCGCGUCUUUGGUUUGGCGCAGCCCAUGAGCAGUGGCAUUAACGCUGGCUUCUACAGCAUGCAACAGGCGCCAGAGCUCACAUUGGCGCAGCAAUUGAACGCACAACAACAACACCAAUACCAACGCUUGCAACAAAGCAGCAGCGCCGGCGGCAACAGUUGGCAGCAAAUGAGCGGCAACAUGUACCAACGCCAAACGCUGGAGCCGUAUCGCCAGCAACAACAGCAUAAUCACCAUAAACACCAACACAAUAAGGGCGCGCUAAGCGGUAUGGGCGCCAACAAUAACAAUCAUCAACGUAAUACGCACAGCGGCCAUCAUGGCAACAAUAAACAUAAUCAGCGUCAACGUCAACGCAAGCGACCGCGACGCUAUUGUUCGGCGCGCGAUCCGGCACAGUUGGCGUUCGAGGCGCCCAUCGUGUUCGAGGGUAAAAUCACAUCGAUGUCACCGGACCGCCGACACAACUUUGCCGCCACAGUGCAAGUGCUGAACGCAUACAAACAGCAGAUUGGUUAUCAGGUGAAACGUGAGCAAUUCGUGCGGCUGCAGUUCGAAUAUAUCAAUAGCAGCGGCGAGUGCGACAUCUAUCGUGAGCAGCUGCGACCGCGCGGCCUAGUGCGCGGCGACGAGCUGGAGCUGCAGCGCACCUAUCUAUUCUUCGUGCAACAGAUCGAUAUGCGCAACUUCACCAUACUCGGCCAGCCGAUCAGGAAGACGCGGCGCGUCAUCGAAGCAGUGAAGGAUGCCGUGAGCGAAAAUUAUGCACAGCUCGCAUCGAUACGAAAUAUAACCACCAAUCGGACGAUGGAAAUCGGUAAAGAGUUGCACAUUGUUUGCAAGGUGCAGGGCCGGCCACCGCCUAAGGUCACCUGGUUCAAGGAUGGCAAAUCGAUUAAUCGCAAUCGGAAAUUAUACAAAUUUCGGCACUUCAAAAUGCGCUCCGAGCUGAUCAUUCGUUCGUUUAACAUCUCCGAUACGGGGCAUUACGAAUGCCGUGCCAAAAAUAAAAUCAAUCAGGAGCCAGCUCGACGCAUCAUAGCAAUCAAAGCGGAUCCAGAGACACGUUCUACAACAAAUCUAGCAGGCGGCACUGGAAAGGUCUGUUCCGAUGAUGCCGCUGAAUUCUGUAUGAAUGGCGGCACCUGUCAUUUCUAUACGGAAAUCAACUCAUUCUCUUGCAUAUGCCCGGAGGGAUUCAUUGGUGAACGCUGCGACCGCAAGGAAGUCAAUAAUUUAUCUCCCAACUAGAAUACCCCUUAAAGCGACUAUAUAGCUGACCUCUCAACUUUUCAAGGCUGUUUCUGCAAAUCAGUUACUCGGAUCAACUUGCGCAUUUUAGACAAUAUGCUAGAGAUGUUAUGGCAUUAAAUAGGACAAGAAAAACAGUCGAUUUUUUGAAGCGCUGAAGCCCAUAUUUUUUGUUGCAAUCUACGGCCAAAUACCUACCACAAUUAAUUGUAUGAUUUCUGUUGCGUUUUUUUUUUUUCGUUUUUGUUGUUAUACCUUGUUAAGAUUAACGAGUUUUAGCGAUUUCUGUUUAAUUAUAAAGCAAAAUAUUUUGUUUAUUUAAUAACUGCGCUGAAAAAAAUUGUGAAAACGUACAGUAGAAGCCAAUAAUAUUGAACUGAAAAUCGACUGCCAGCGCGACGAUUUGUGACGAGUCGCGAUAAGCGUUCUAUUGCAUAUAUAAAUAUGUAAAUAAAUAGAUGUAGGUCUGAGCAAUAAACUAGAGCAGUGGGUUGAGCCUAGUCAGUUGUGCCGUUGAGAUGAUGUUUACCGCUAUUUUUUCCAACAUAACCAAAACUAUACAUUUGAACGAAACACGCAUAGGUGUGUAAAUACAAUAUAUAGUAUAAACAUGCAUAUAAAAAAAAAAAAUUAUGAAAGAAAAAAAUUAUAUAAAAAAAUUUUAUAAAAAAAAAAUUAUAUAAAAAAAAUUUAUAAAAAAAAAGUUAUAUUAAAAAAAAAUACACAUAAAAAAAUAUUUCGCAUACAUACAUGGUACAACAAGCACGUUAAUGCCGACAGAACUGCGCGCAUCAAACUGAUAACUAAAAACUCCACGUAACCGAACGAUACUUGCGAGCACAAAAUUCAACAAAAACGCAAAAAAUUGCAAUUUUGAAAUAUUGUUUGAGCUUUUUUUCGAAACAUUUGCGCUCACAGUGUAAUGCUGAGCGCCUCGGUUUUGCAGCGUCGUUGCAACCCGCCGACUUAGACAACAGUAUUUAAUCUAAAGGAUUUCUAAACUAAAAGUUUCCUUCCUACUUUUUAAAUAAAUAAAUUUAUGUUAAAUAUUAUUUCAUUUUACUUUUGCUUAAGGCGUUAAAUUUAUUACUGUGUUUUUGUUUUAAUCACGAACAAAGCGCACAUUUUGCAUAUAUUUUCGAAAAUAUAUUAUGUAUGCAGUAAAUACAACUAUUGUAAUAAAAGUGUAAAUAUAAAGUAUAAUUUUUUUUAUUUUUAAUUUUUGUCCUAUGUUUAAGAAACAAUCGACUCACACGCGAAUAUUUAGAGCAUAUUUAAAGCAAAUAAUUAUAUUUACUAAUCAAGCACAAAAGAAUUUAUUUAACAACAAAAUUUUGAAAAUUAAAUGUACGCUCCUCGUUGCUGUUGAAAACAAAUGAGCGAGAGAGAGAGAGUCAAUAUUGAACUGAGAAUGAGUAUGAGAGCAGGUUUGCACUUG
Bactrocera dorsalis (oriental fruit fly) is the source of this 5643-nucleotide RNA transcript. RefSeq lists it as uncharacterized. Lineage: Eukaryota; Metazoa; Arthropoda; Insecta; Diptera; Tephritidae. The record is from RefSeq and is a predicted model, not a curated record. The transcript is spliced from 8 exons.